Molecule: ribosomal RNA, 497 nt
Filed under: uncultured bacterium
Lineage: Bacteria
Description: partial 16S ribosomal RNA
Rfam family: Bacterial small subunit ribosomal RNA
Source: RNAcentral
GAUGAACGCUGGCGGCGUGCCUAAUACAUGCAAGUCGAGCGAACGGACGAGAAGCUUGCUUCUCUGAUGUUAGCGGCGGACGGGUGAGUAACACGUGGAUAACCUACCUAUAAGACUGGGAUAACUUCGGGAAACCGGAGCGAAUACCGGAUAAUAUUUUGAACCGCAUGGUUCAAAAGUGAAAGACGGUCUUGCUGUCACUUAUAGAUGGAUCCGCGCUGCAUUAGCUAGUUGGUAAGGUAACGGCUUACCAAGGCAACGAUGCAUAGCCGACCUGAGAGGGUGAUCGGACAGACUGGAAGUGAGAAUCGGUCCACACUCCUGCGGGAGGCAGCAGUAGGGAAUCUUCCGCAAUGGGCGAAAGCCUGACGGAGCAACGCCGCGUGAGUGAUGAAGGUCUUCGGAUCGUAAAACGCUGUUAGUAGGGAAGAACAUAUGUGUAAGUAACUGUGCACAUCUUGACGGUACCUAAUCAGAAAGCCACGGCUAACUACGUG